GGGGUUGUGGCUCAGCGGUAGAGCACCUGCCUCACGCACGGGAGGAACUGGGUUUGAUUCUCAGCACCA
This 69-nucleotide transfer RNA is filed under the name Ictidomys tridecemlineatus (thirteen-lined ground squirrel). RNAcentral's name for it is "Spermophilus tridecemlineatus (thirteen-lined ground squirrel) tRNA". It matches the Rfam family "tRNA". Rfam says of the family: Transfer RNA (tRNA) molecules are approximately 80 nucleotides in length. Lineage: Eukaryota; Metazoa; Chordata; Mammalia; Rodentia; Sciuridae. The record is from Rfam by way of RNAcentral.